GACCUCACUUCUAUAGCACACAUAACAACACUGAAAUAUUACAGAGAUUAGCAUAGCUCCUGUGCCAGGCAGACUCACAAAUUUGUGAAGCUGGCAUAUUUUU
Small nuclear RNA from Lontra canadensis (Northern American river otter), 103 nucleotides. Lineage: Eukaryota; Metazoa; Chordata; Mammalia; Carnivora; Mustelidae. The record is from RefSeq and is a predicted model, not a curated record.